GACAGAGGGUGCAAACGUUGCUCGGAAUCACUGGGCGUAAAGGGCGUGUAGGCGGGUAGAUAAGUCGGGCGUGAAAUCCCUAGGCUCAACCUAGGAACUGCACUCGAAACUGUUUAUCUUGAGUGCCGGAGAGGAAAGCGGAAUUCCUGGUGUAGAGGUGAAAUUCGUAGAUAUCAGGAAGGAACGACCAGUGGCGAAGGGCGCUCACUGG
This 211-nucleotide ribosomal RNA is filed under the name uncultured bacterium. RNAcentral's name for it is "partial 16S ribosomal RNA". It matches the Rfam family "Bacterial small subunit ribosomal RNA", at positions 524 to 732 of the family's 1533-position model. The record is from RNAcentral.